GAUGAACGCUAGCGACAGGCUUAACACAUGCAAGUCGAGGGGCAUCGGGGAGUAGCAAUACUCUGCCGGCGACCGGCGCACGGGUGCGUAACGCGUAUGCAACUUACCUUACAGAGGGGGAUAACCCGUUGAAAGACGGACUAACACCGCAUAUUCUUAUAUUAUCGCAUGAUAGAGUAAGGAAAUAUUUAUAGCUGUAAGAUAGGCAUGCGUCCCAUUAGCUAGUUGGUAGGGGUAACGGCUCACCAAGGCAACGAUGGGUAGGGGAACUGAGAGGUUUAUCCCCCACACUGGUACUGAGACACGGACCAGACUCCUACGGGAGGCAGCAGUGAGGAAUAUUGGUCAAUGGGCGAGAGCCUGAACCAGCCAAGUCGCGUGAAGGAUGAAGGUCUUAUGGAUUGUAAACUUCUUUUGCGGGAGAAUAACGGGCGCUACGAGUAGUGUUAUGAAUGUAUCCCAGCGAAUAAGCAUCGGCUAACUCCGUGCCAGCAGCCGCGGUAAUACGGAGGAUGCGAGCGUUAUCCGGAUUUAUUGGGUUUAAAGGGUGCGUAGGCGGCUUUUUAAGCCAGCGGUGAAAGGUUCGGGCUCAACCCGGACAUUGCCGUUGAAACUGGGGAGCUUGAGUAUGGAUGAGGUAGGCGGAAUGCGUGGUGUAGCGGUGAAAUGCAUAGAUAUCACGCAGAACUCCGAUUGCGAAGGCAGCUUACUAAGGCAUUACUGACGCUGAAGCACGAAAGCGUGGGUAUCAAACAGG
This 757-nucleotide ribosomal RNA is filed under the name uncultured Anaerococcus sp. RNAcentral describes it as "bacterial SSU rRNA". It matches the Rfam family "Bacterial small subunit ribosomal RNA", at positions 28 to 776 of the family's 1533-position model. Lineage: Bacteria; Bacillati; Bacillota; Tissierellia; Tissierellales; Peptoniphilaceae. The record is from RNAcentral.